UUGCUCUGGCAGCACACAUACUACAACUGGAACAAUAUGGAGAAGAUUAGCAUGGCUCCUGUGCAAGGAUGACAUGUAAAUUCAUGAAGCAUUCCAUAUUUUU
Molecule: small nuclear RNA, 103 nt
Organism: Apodemus sylvaticus (European woodmouse)
Lineage: Eukaryota; Metazoa; Chordata; Mammalia; Rodentia; Muridae
Source: RefSeq, a predicted model, not a curated record